Molecule: ribosomal RNA, 521 nt
Filed under: uncultured bacterium
Lineage: Bacteria
Description: bacterial SSU rRNA
Rfam family: Archaeal small subunit ribosomal RNA
Source: RNAcentral
AACCUCCGCAAUGUGAGAAAUCGCGACGGGGGGAUCCCAAGUGCCAUUCUUAACGGGAUGGCUUUUCUUAAGUGUAAAAAGCUUUUGGAAUAAGAGCUGGGCAAGACCGGUGCCAGCCGCCGCGGUAACACCGGCAGCUCUAGUGGUAGCUGUUUUUAUUGGGCCUAAAGCGUUCGUAGCCGGUUUGAUAAGUCACUGGUGAAAUCCUGUAGCUUAACUGUGGGAAUUGCUGGUGAUACUGUUGAACUUGAGGUCGGGAGAGGUUAGCGGUACUCCCAGGGUAGAGGUGAAAUUCUGUAAUCCUGGGAGGACCACCUGUGGCGAAGGCGGCUAACUGGAACGAACCUGACGGUGAGGGACGAAAGCUAGGGGCGCGAACCGGAUUAGAUACCCGGGUAGUCCUAGCCGUAAACGAUGCGGACUUGGUGUUGGGAUGGCUUUGGAGCCGCUCCGGUGCCGAAGGGAAGCUGUUAAGUCCGCCGCCUGGGAAGUACGGUCGCAAGACUGAAACUUAAGGAAUU